RNAcentral lists this ribosomal RNA (253 nucleotides) under uncultured bacterium. RNAcentral describes it as "partial 16S ribosomal RNA". It matches the Rfam family "Bacterial small subunit ribosomal RNA", at positions 524 to 776 of the family's 1533-position model. The record is from RNAcentral.
UACGUAGGGUGCAAGCGUUAAUCGGAAUUACUGGGCGUAAAGCGUGCGCAGGCGGUUUUGGAAGUCAGAUGUGAAAUCCCCGGGCUUAACCUGGGAACUGCGUUUGAAACUACAAGGCUAGAGUGUGGCAGAGGGGGGUGGAAUUCCACGUGUAGCAGUGAAAUGCGUAGAGAUGUGGAGGAACACCGAUGGCGAAGGCAGCCCCCUGGGUUAACACUGACGCUCAGGCACGAAAGCGUGGGGAGCAAACAGG